Mauremys reevesii (Reeves's turtle) is the source of this 4307-nucleotide RNA transcript. It is a transcript of the gene named polypeptide N-acetylgalactosaminyltransferase-like 6, with no coding region annotated. Lineage: Eukaryota; Metazoa; Chordata; Testudines; Geoemydidae. The record is from RefSeq and is a predicted model, not a curated record. The transcript has 4 exons.
GUGACUGGGAGGGAGCUGAUCAUCCCCCUUGAUUAUCCCCUUGCCAGUCCCUCCUGCACACUCAGAGCUUUCUAUCUUUGCGCAUUUUUUAUUUAAUAAAUUGGGGAGCUCGUGAUGUUUUCCUUUCUUCUCUGCUUGAUCAGUGCCAGGAGAAGAAUGGUAACACGAACAGCAUCAGAGUGUGAAAAUAUUGUCCGGGAGGGAGAGGGACGGAGCGGUGGUGAAUGCACUUUGCGAUACGAUAACGGUGCCUAGAAGGGGGGAGGGUUACAAACUCCCCCUGUGAACUGUGAGGAUUGGUGGUGACUCGAGGCUUGUAACAAAAGUUUCUUCUAACCAACUCCCAGUUUGGGGGUGACGCGGAGAGACAGAGGGGAAAGGAAAUUGGCCCUGAGAGCAAAGAAUAGCUCAUCUUCUUUUAUAUAUGCUGCCAUUUGCCAUGAAGAGAAAACAGAAGAGAUUUUUGCAAAUGACGUUGUUGUUCAUGGUGGCUUUAAUUUUCCUGCCUAAUAUUGGUCUGUGGUCUUUGUACAAGGAUAAACACCUGGUGAAAUCCCCAGAGCCAGGAGAGCAGCAGUAUCAAAGCAUCUAGGACUUCCAGUCAUUGUGCUCAACACUGUACAAACACAGAACAAAAGGACAGUUCCUGCCCUGAAACUCUUACAACUUACCGAAAAGAAUCCAAAACUAAUCCAAAACAUUUCCCCUAUGAAGAAUCUAAGGCCCUGAUCCUGCACUGAACUCAGAGCAGGUGGACCCCUGCAUCCGUACAGAGAUCCAUUGAAGUCAAUGAGCUAUUGUGGGUUCAGGUGUCUGUCCAAAGGGAGCACAGUACAGAAUCGGGACAUAAGUUAGAAGAAGAACAGCUCAGCUGUAUUAAAAAUGUCAAAAAAUAGCUAUAUUAUGGCCCUGAUCCAGCAAAACACUUAGGCAUGUAUUGACUUCAGUGAUAUAACUCUAUGUUCAUAAAGUUAAGCACACGUUUAAAUGCUUUGCUUGAUUGGGGCCUAGGAGAGGGGAAUGUUUGAAUGGUCACAUUAAAAAAGGUAAAACACACUGCAGAAACAUGUGAAUUUGAAGGUUGAUAAUUUAAUCACAAAGCAACUUGGGAAAUUCUCAAUUAAGAUUCCCACACCUACUCUACCCCACCCUCAGCCAGUCAGGUGGAGCAGACUAGGCUGACUAAAAUAAGCUGCAGCAUACAUCUUUGCCCUUCCCUCAAAAUUAAUGGAAAGCCUUUUUGUGGGCAGGGGCAAUGGGUGUGUGUGUGUGUGGAACCAGCCCAGUAAACUCUUUCCCUUGUCUUUGGUUGACAUGAUCUCAGCCUAUUAUGUCAGUUCCCAUCUGAAAAUGUUUUAAUAGAGAUACCUCAGAGUACAUGGUGUACUGGCAAGCCCAAGUCUCUUAUGAUUCAUGGCUUGCUAGACAUGAUGUACAGGACCUUGUGCUGCCAGUUUUUGGAGAAGGUUCUACUGCUGGAACCUUCCUCAAAAUAGUUCUACAAUUAUGGAGGAGCAUUCCCAAAUCCUUGUGUACCUGCUUGGGAUCUAAUGACUGUGUGGCUGGGGAGUGCAGACUCUGUGCCCAGAUAUUCUUGUCAGCAGCGCUAAUCUCCCAAGAAGGAGUGGGAUGGAUGAGAUGAGGGUAUUCUAUUCUAAAUGUUUUUACACUACUUUCAUCAGUGGACUAUCCCAGCACCCUCCACUAGGUGGUGUGACUAACAUCUGUCCUGUGGUUCUCUCAACCUCUCCCUAAGGAGAAAAUUGUGUUCAGUGUUUGAUUUUGGUAGUGGUUGUUUAAAUAUAUGUGUGUGUCAGUGCUGAAUUUGUAAUGAAAGAGGUGUCAAGGCUCAAACUAGGUGGCUGGAGAAUGGCGGCUGCUAGCUGAGUGCCCAGCUUUGAAGGCAAUGCCUCUGCCAGCAGCAGCACAGAAGGGUGGCGUGGUAUGGUGCAUUGUCACCCUUACUUCUGCACUGCUGCUGGCAGCCAGAGAGUGGCAGUUGCUGACCGGGAGCCCAGAGGUCUUUGAAAUGCAAAGACUAGAGGUGUCUUGGCUCAGCCCCAGCAAGCCAUGGCACAAAUGAAGCAUUGGUGUGUGUGUGUACUGCUAUUUUGUGUUUCUGUUAAAGAAGGCAAGGUCAAAGUGCACCAUACAAUUGGAAGGUUUGUUAUGGUCCUUAGUUCCUGGGGGAGUUUGUUCCACAGUCUGGUAGUGACCCCACAAAAAGCUCUGUCUCUUGCACAGAAGAGCUUUACCUUUUGCACAGUCCUGCCACCCUAUCCUGAAACUAUCUCAGCUCAUGGGUCAGCUAGUAAAACUAGUCAGCCAGAAAGGUGAAUGCAAUCUGCACCUGAUCUCCUUCCAGUAUGAAUGCUUCAGAAGGAUUUUUUUUUCUGGGGCUCCAGCUGUGACUCAGCUACUUUGCAUUGUCUUCCAGCUCAGGGUAGUUCUUAAAGUUACAGCCUAACACACUUGUUGAUUUUAUUAACCAUUUUAAUGGCAAUUUAAACAUGUACUAAAGAUUUCCAAGAAAGGUUAAACAAACACACAGUGGUCAUGUAAUGGGGAAAGAUCUCCCCUAUUCAGUCUCACAGCAUACCACACUCUCUCUCUCUAAAAAGAAAUACAUUUCAAGGUAUUAAUUAUUGUUUGGAUUUCUCAUUUGAGUGCUGUGAAAAUUAUUAUAUUUGGUUCCAUAAAUCUUGGAACUUUUUAGAUUACUUUUCUAAGGAGUGAUUGUGACACAUUAGCAUGGAGCGUGCAUGAAGAACACACAUUAAUGCCACAUUACAAGAAGUAUAUUGCUAUCUUACAGGCUCUGAUAAAUGACUACAUUUUAAGUUGUCUUUGAUAUGUACACAAAAUGAAUGACAAGCUUGAAUGGAUGUUGUUUAUCCAGAAUGCUUCAAUAUAAACUGAAGUGACAAUCAAAUUGCUGAUCAAAUUUUGCAAUUAUAACAUCAAUAUAAAAAUGUAAAUCUGGAACUUUUGACAUUAAGUAAAGUCAAGGGUGCUCUAUUAAAAUAAUGGUCACAAAGCACAACAAGGAAAGAGAGAUACAAAGGAGUUGGGAUAGUUACAAGAAUUACCUGAAACCCCCACAAAAUUGAUGUAUGAAAGCAUCACAGCAAAAUAUUGAAUAUUUUUUUAACUUGUGUUGCAUACAGAAUUAGUUUGUUCAGUAUAGUAGAUCCCCCAACAAUAGUAAGGGCAUCCUGGAAAAAUAAUUGAAACUGUCAGAUACAUUUUGCCAACAGAUGUUGAGUGGUAGGGAAUUUUCUCUAAGUAUGUCAAGAAGCUCCAUCCUAUAAUGGUCAAAUCUUAUUUUCCUUCUUGGUUUAUCAAAGCCCCAAAAGAAAAAGCUUUAGAAUCUUCCUUAUGGCAUAGAAGGCCCAUAAAGAGAGAGAGCCCCCAAUAAAAGUACUGCCAAAACAUUCAUCAGCAUAAUCCAACCAAUUCUAUAAUAUGAGAGAGAAAUCUCGAUCUAACUCUAACAAUAGGUUGCACUAACUAGGCUAAAACCCCAAUAGUAACCCAACAACUGCAGUUCUGCAAACACUGCAGGUGUACAGGAACUCCAGCUACACCAGCUGCAGAGUGUGAUGGGGCUGAUGCCCCAUGCUAAUCAAAGAAGAAAAGAAUAUUCAGCCUCUGGUAUCACCUCAAUCAAAGCAGCAAACACUCCCUUCACCACAAAACACUUGAGGAUUAAAAGCUAUAUCCAAAUGAAAACCCAAUCCAGUUAUUUGUCAUCAGCCUCUGGGCUCAACAAAUGCAAACUCAUGACCAGCAGAGCAAACAAUCAAAACCGAAAGAUGCUCAACUGUUAGGCCAACACCUAAGCUACCAAUAGAUAAGUUACUGGGAGGGAUAAAUCAUAGGUGGCAGCAAGCUGGCCUGCUACAGAUCCCUACGCAGAGCUAUCAUACUAGGAGACCACUUUACUACAAUGAAAUAUGCAAAACUAAGGCAGAUUCUCACCAAAUCAGUGACCACAAACUAGAGGUGGAAAUGAGGAUGUACAAAGCACAGUCUAAACCCAGAGAGGUGUGACCGCAUGGCCAGUGUAACAGAGGACAGAUUAAGACAGACAGACACUUUCUGUUCCAAUGUCUCAAAUAUGAGGAAGUGAGCCAAAUAUUUCUUCAAAUGAUCUGGAACCUUAGGACAUCUCAUCCAAAAGUGAUGAGGAAAAACUGUCUGGUCCUGUCAGAGAGAGGUGGCACAGAUGUCAUUGUGCCACAUAGCAACCUGGCACUCGGUCAGCAGUGGUCGGCAAUGACAAAUGGACAUGGAGGGAGCAAGAG